CAGGGACACUGCUAUUGGCCACCUCUCAGUGGGAGAACUUUGUGCUCAGGGAAUCCACUUGGAUCUCCUCCCGUCUGAAUAGGAAUGAUCUGGAGAAACCUCUGACUCGGUGCUGCCCAUUGGAAUCCUUCCAUCCCCUAGGGCCUGCCUGUUGUAGUCCACACAAUAAACAUCUCUGUAAUCCUUCCAAGUCCUCAAUCUGCUGCUGACUUUCAUCUUCUUCCGGUGUCUAGAUGUGCACUGUUGACUUGGAGCAAACGUGAGUCCUGCAGCAUCUUCCUCAUGAAAUCAGACAUGGAACCACCUGAACAGGGGCACAGAUGAGCUCCCGGAUUUGUUCCCAAGUCAAGAAAGUAGACUAAUUGGACAGGCUCCCAGUCUUCACUGCGUUUCUGUGCAGGACUGGCCAUUUCGGGGACCUUGCCCUCUGCAGCCAGGAAUCAGGUGUAGGGAGGGAGGUUGCAGGCGCACCCACAUCCGCACAUGCUCUGAUUGGUGAUGCUUGAAAUCCUUGGUGACUUCCAGCUGGUGCUGCACUGUGAUUCCUCACAGCUCAAACACUGACACUGGGGGACCCUUCUCGUGCCUCGGUGUGUAAGAUUGCACUCCUCUGAGGGAUCUAUGAUAGUUAUUCAGGCAGUGAAACUCAUUCCCCGUUGCCCCGCCAAGCUAUCCAGCCCUGAAGGUCAGUCUUACAUCUUUGAAUAUUGAGUAACUGUGAGAUAUGAAAGAGGACGUGGCUAUAGAGAUUUUUGGAGAGUGACAGUAAUACGAACCCAAUUAAUAAACUUUUGCAUCCAAGAGUAUAAAUGAAUAACAAAAACAAAACGGUAACAGUAAAAAGUAACUGUUUUUACUUUAAAAAGUAACUGUUUUUAUGUUAAAAAAAAACUGUAAAAAAGAAGGAACAAAGGAAUAGACUCAAAAAGAAAAAAGAAAGAGCACCAAUAGUGGAAGGAGUCAUAAUAUUUGAAAGUUGGUAGGCAAUCACAAAGACAGCCGGUGAAUCAAAGAAAAAAUUCUUCUGUUCAUGCUCCUAUAUGGUCCCCUGCAAGUGGUGAAGGAACAGAGAAAGGCAAGUCUCAAAAAUCGUUUAACAUGCAAAUUAGAGCCCUUUAACCCAUCCUUGCUAAGUCAGCUCUUUAGUCACUGUACUCUGUCGGAUUCACUGUGUCAUGCUUGGCAGCAGGCCAAGAGCGAUCACUCAUGAAGUAAUUUUCACUGAAGCAGGUCCUUAGAUUUUCACUUUCUACUAGAAUGGAUUCCGUAAAACCAAACUAUUUUGCUCUUCCAUGGCCAUACUUGCUUGGAUUUUAAUAGUCCAUGCCUAAUAUUUGCACUUUACUCAUAUAGGUGUCAAUAAUGCCUAGUUUCUUUAUUGCUAAAACCACUAAAAUUCUACUUCUUUUAAGGUACAUAUUGCCUCUGGGCAUUUAAGUUGCAGAAAUAGCAGCAUCAUGUUCAGCUUUUGCCUAGCACUAUAUUCAACUGACACUUAUGACAUCAUCUUUAAUUUACCUCUAUUUUGUUGUAAUAGAAAAAUAACCAGUGGGUGUCACUUAAGAGUCACCUAUCUAAACUCGAAGUCUUUCAAUUCACACAGCUCACAACAAUCAGACUACUGACCACAUUACAUUCUGGUCCAUCUUUACGGAGUCGCAAAAACUUGAGCUUCUUAGGAGAACCCUCACAAAGACUGAUAAAUGAUCAUAUGCUUUCUGUUGUUUCCAUCCAUCUCUGUGAGCUAUUGGGCUCCAUUUCUUGAUUUUCAAAAACUUAGCAUGUAUAAUUCAAAUAUUACCUCUGCUCAAAAAGCAAGAGUUUGGAUUCUGAGUCCAAAAUCUAAAGCUUUUGCCUACUAACUUGGUUAUUCUUCUUUUUUGUCUACGCAUGGCUAUAGUCUCUCUUUGAGAUGCCAGACAUGUGAAUUUUGGUGACCUGCUGUGGUCUGACUGUAUACCUGCCCACCUAAUUUAUAUGUUGAAGUCUCAAGCCCCAAGGGAUGGUGUCAUGUGGUGUGGUCCUUGGGGAUUAAUGAGGGUGUGAGGGUGGAGCCUCUUGAAUAGAAUUAGCGACCUCAUCAAAAAGAUUGAGGUAGAUCCAUCCCCUUCCUGCCAUUUGAAGAUACAGGAGAAGUCAGAGGUAUGCAACCAGGAAGCGGGCGCUCACUGGAUCCUAUCUUGUUGCCACCCUGAUUUGAAUUUCUAACUCUAGAAUGUGAGCAGGAAAUGUCUGCUCCUUACAAGCUACUCAGUCUAUGCUAUGUUGUUAAUGGAAUUUGAAUGGUCUAAGGCAUGACCUGACCAAUUUUCUGCUUAGAGUCCAUCCCAGGACUCAAGAAAAUACCUAAGGAGAGAGAAAUCCUUUUACCCAAAUGUAUGUCUAGGCAUCUAGUCCAGUCCCUAUCAUCUCAGGAGCCAAUUAACAUUCAUUAAGAGAAUCAUGAAGGCAAUAGUAGGAAUCUAGAUAGUCAGGAAUCAAGAGUACAGUAAAUCAGAAAUACCUUGUAAACUCGUCCUAAUCCUACAAAGGAAGUUAUGAUGACAUUAAUAUUGUGUGAGAUGGUAUUUAAAACUAUUGUUUGGUUGCAGAGAUAUUUUCUUCAAGUGUCUAAAUUUAAUAUAUAGACUAUCAGGAUGAGAAUCAUAGACCUUGUCGUAAAUGGAAGACUCAUCCUCCACUUUGAAAUCAGUGAUUCUCAAGUGCCUUUUAAAACUAACCCAAAUACUUCUUUCAAAGGAUCAAUGAUGCUCUGAACUCUAACUAGUGACAUCCAUAUCAUCUACCACAGGAAUUAAUUUCUGGAAAAAGACUUUCGAUUCUUGUUUUGGGGUUGAGGAUAAAGUGUGUCCAGUAAAAACACUGGGUUCUUUUUCCUUUCUUUUUUUUUUUUCAACUUAAAGAGCAUUGGUACAAAUAGCAUAAAAAUAAUAAGUGGUCUUAUUGAAGUUGUCUCCUCUUCUAUUAGUCGCUAGAAUAGUCUAUUGCUCAAAUACUUUGCAUUUCGGCAACCCAUGAGAAUAAAUUCAGAUAAACUAAUGUGAGCAUAACUGAUAUUGCCCUGUACAGUCCUGGGUUUUGAAAAUAAACCAUGUGAUCUACCAUAAUGGUUCCCGUUACAACUGAGUGGUAUAGACUCAGGUACCACAGACAAAUUGGGCAAAACAUGUUGAAUAUGGCAACGUUACAAACUAGAAGGGACCCGUGACCUUGAAACGCUGUUUGCAGGACAGCCAACCUGAAGAGUCAUCUGAUCAGGAAUGCUUGCAUCGGACUCUUACACAAAGGAAGACAAUUCCCAUAAUGAUAAAAGUGUGGAUAAUUUUCUGGAUAGUUUUCUGUUCAUCAGUUAGAAAAUCUAGCAUUAACUUAAAUGACACACGUCUUUACAAAAAAUACCAUCUUGAGAAAACUUUUCAUAAAAUGACUAGAUUGUACACUUUAAAAAUGGCAAAUAUACCCUCCCACCACUCCUACGCACACAAAGAAAACCUUUAGACAGAUUUAAAAAUUAUAUUAUAUAUUUAAGAAAAUAGAUUACGUUCUAUACUCUGAGCAUAAUUCUACAUAUUCAUGAUGUACAAUAUAUUUUUUAAUGACCCCAUGAUUUUUGGUUGAGAUAUAUCUCUGCUGGUGCAGAAAUGUGAGUCGAGAUUGUUUCUAGACUUCGCAAUGUAUGUAAUUGAACAGAGUCACGAGUACAACUUUCUUCUGCAUUUUGACUUUUCUUUGAGGAUUGUCACGUGAGAAAAACGCGCUCUGUGAUCUUGACUCUGACAACCUCGCAAGAAGGUGCCAUACUUCUCUUGUUUCAGAUAGUUAUGGAUUCCUCGGUAGUAAUUACAGACAAGUAUGCCCAAAUAGAGACACACCAGGUUUCCCUCGUUUGUCUGGUCCAGCUCUUCCAGGCUGUGAUGAAGCCUAGAGAGUAGUUGAUAGAGGAGGGUGCGGUUCCAAGCAGCAUGGCUGUCCGCUGCGUUCAACAGGCUGAAAAUUUGCUGAAGCACGAGAUGGUGGAAACAGGCUAUGGAUCCAAGGCACGUCUCCACCAAGAGAGCAAAUCAGGAUGGAGCUGAGCAUCGCUCCAGCCGCCAGCCACUAACUGCACUGGGCCACUGAGAUUGCCGGUGAUUCUCUAGACGUUGCCCGGGCACCGCGAAAGAGCAGGAUGGUUCUAUUGCUGUGCCCCUGGAAAGCGUGGUUCCCCAGCGGGCCACGAGAGGGCGCGCAGGCGGCGUUUUCUGACGCUUGGGUAGGAAACAAAGGCUUGGAGGAGAUUUUUCUGUCUGUCCUGCUGGUAGGGCCUGAGAAAGGCUUUCGCAGCGCCAUGGGGCAGCUUGGUGCCGCUUUAAUAGUCCGUGAGAAGCCUUCGUUUCCCCGGCGCUGACUGCUGCGGACCGAGCUCUGCCUUGGCCAGCGGGGGACAUUUCUUCGGUACGGAACACAACGCCUCGCAUCAGGUGCGGGAUGGUUUCUGGGCGAGAUGCCGCCGGAUUCGCAGACGAGGACACCGUCGCAGGGGCUCGGGUGCGGCCCUCCCUGGGGCCCGAGGCGGGGGGACGCGGACGCCCCGCUGCGCUGUGGCGCUGUGACUUUCGAGGUGAAUUUUCAACCUUCCAGCGUUGCAAAGUGGUGGAGUGAGCUCUUAUGUGAAGACUGUGUCAGAAAACACGAGCUAUGGCUUCAGUAAAGAAAUGCGGAGAAUUCAAAUCUCAUAUAUUAGCCCCUUCAAAGGUAAAGGCAGAGAGGUACAAGAGGAUUUGCAAGUUUCAUCAGAGGGAGCUGGAUGGCUACCAGGUCCAGAAAUCACAGGCCACCUCUUCCUGCAUGUGAUGAUCCAGAAGACCUUCAACGUCUCCAGCACAAAGAGCUGAAAUUCCUCACUCGAUCAGAUGGGCAGUUGGAAGGAGGUGGCACUCUUCCUUUGUAAAUGUUUUAAUGGUCCACAGAGUAAAAUGGAUCCCACAUUUUAUUUCCCUUUUGCUGCAGCUACAGCUACUGCAACAGGGAUGUUCCCUCUGUCCAACAGCAUUCACAGGAGAAAAAAAAAAAUGCCUCUCAUAUGAGAGUUUCUGAGAAACCCAGAACUUUCACUGAAAUUUGGCUCUCAAUUGGUGGAUUUAUAAUCUUCAGGGAAAAUUGCCAUAAGCCAGAAACCUUAAUGGAAAAGGAAGUAGCUGUAUGAAUGUGAAGUUAGAGCUUCAUGAGGAGUGAAUGAGGAGAGCACGCUGGACAUUUCUACACUGCAGAGGAAGGAAGUCAUAGCAGUGAAACAACGGGAUCGAGGAAAGCAGAGGGGAAGGAGGUGCCAGCUCUCAGAAUCAGCAAUUGAACACUACAUAUAGAUAUAGAUUAAGAUAUGUAGUAUUUGAUAUAUAGUCUCCAUUAUCAUAUAUGUAGCAUAUACAUUUUAUGCUAUGCACAUACAUAUAUAUACCUGUAUACUAUAUUACUGUGUAUAUGUUAUACUGUUAUGUAUACAUUACACUGAUUUGAUGAGCCACUGUUUCCUAAUUCUGUUUAUUAGAUUGCCGGUGUUUUCCAGUCAGUUACAGAGAGAGGGAUAGGACAGUUCAUGGAUCUACAAGAAACAAUAAGAAAGCAGCCACCAUGUGCUAAGCCCCCACUCAGUGGAAGGUGCCCUGUAAACACCUGGUGGAGUUCCUGAAAAUGAGUCCCACAAAAAAGGCGGAGCUCCACAAACUCUGGACCCCUGGAGUUUUACACUUUCAAGUUCAUCCAUGCACUUCCAGCAAUUCUGAAAUUACAGUUGAAGUAUUUGUACCAAUUCCAGCCGCAGGUACAGGCUAUUGCUCUAGAUCAGAUGUGAUUCUCUGCAUUUCACUUCCUGUUCAGUAUCAGGGCAGGGACUUGCCCUGUGACCUCAAUCCUGAUGGCUGUAAAGGAACUGUUUUUCAAUUCAACUGCAGUUUUUAUAGUACUGAUGUGAGGUCGGGAAUAACAACUUCCAAGCUCGUUAAAUGUUUCACAUUGAACUGGAAGUUCUCCAAUAUAUGGGUACAUACACAACAUCAAUACAGCUAGCUCUUAAGGAGUGAUGUCCCUAAGUUAUUUUUUUCAUGACCAAUAUUCUAACAACAAUUUUGAACAAUUUAACUCAAUGCAUUCUGUGACAAAGCAGGGAUAAGAUUCUUUAUAAUGACUGAACAUGAGCCCUUCCUGUGUUAGGUAGAGAAUCGUUUCAAUGACUGUUUUCCUUAAAGAGGUUCAUUUUCAGGUCCCCUUCCUUACUUCAUCUCUUUGCAAAUGUAAUGAUAAACAGAAUGACCAAAUCAUAUUUAUUCAGACCUCUUCCUAGAAGCACAGUGACUCUUGUAUCUUCUGUUUUAGGUGGAAGUACAUCUUCAUGUAGAGUGCACAGCCUUCUAGCCUAUUCUUCUCGUCAUAGCAUGGAACAUAAGUAAUAUUAUUUUCUACUAUUAAAAGCAUUAAUUUUAAAAGUAAUUAAUAUCGAAUUACCAAUUAACCGAUUAUUGUUUUAGAUUACUUUCCUUACAAAAAACAAAGACACAAGAAAACAGGAACUGCAUUUCUAUGUCGACAGUAGAGAACUAGCAGAGGAAGUUUUCGCAUUAAAUAUAGCAGUACAAUAAAAUGAACAAAAAGUAAAAUUACACAUAUAGAUGUAUACCAACUGGCCCAAUAGGUAGAUCAAUGACAAAUCCUGUACUGUGUGGUAUAGAUGAUUCCCUGAGUUUUAUAUUAUGGGUUUUUGUCAACAUUUUUUAUCUGAAUAUAUGCAGUCACUAAA
Long non-coding RNA from Pteropus alecto (black flying fox), 6772 nucleotides. RefSeq lists it as uncharacterized. The record is from RefSeq and is a predicted model, not a curated record. The transcript is spliced from 5 exons. NCBI's taxonomy places the organism in Eukaryota, Metazoa, Chordata, Mammalia, Chiroptera, Pteropodidae.